GACGAACGCUGGCGGCGUGCUUAACACAUGCAAGUCGAACGGAAAGGCCCUGCUGUUGUGGGGUGCUCGAGUGGCGAACGGGUGAGUAACACGUGAGUAACCUGCCCUUGACUUUGGGAUAACUUCAGGAAACUGGGGCUAAUACCGGAUAGGAGCUCCUGCUGCAUGGUGGGGGUUGGAAAGUUUCGGCGGUUGGGGAUGGACUCGCGGCUUAUCAGCUUGUUGGUGGGGUAGUGGCUUACCAAGGCUUUGACGGGUAGCCGGCCUGAGAGGGUGACCGGCCACAUUGGGACUGAGAUACGGCCCAGACUCCUACGGGAGGCAGCAGUGGGGAGUAUUACACAAUAGGCGGGAGCCUGAUGCGGCAACGCCGCGUGCGGGAUGACGGCCUUCGGGUUGUAAACCGCUUUCGCCUGUGACGAAGCGUGAGUGACGGUAAUGGGUAAAGAAGCACCGGCUAACUACGUG
Molecule: ribosomal RNA, 468 nt
Filed under: uncultured bacterium
Lineage: Bacteria
Description: partial 16S ribosomal RNA
Rfam family: Bacterial small subunit ribosomal RNA
Source: RNAcentral